GCCCGCACGACCUCUCACCCCCUGCUCCUCGACCUCUCGCUCCCUGCUCCUCCUACCGCACCGUUCGCCGCCCCACAACCGCUCGCCGCUUCGCCGCCUUCCGCAGCCGCGCCCCUUCGCCGUCGCCCACCUACUGCCCUUCUCUCCCUGCACUUUUCCACCCUCACGCAGCCGCCGCCAGCGCCUUGUGCCCCAACGCCGCUAUCGCCAUCACCUCCUCCCCAUGGUCCGCGAGCUAGACGCGCUGCCGGGAAGAAUCCACCAUCUACGGCCUUGCGGCGCUCGCCGGGGAAACCGCCGCCGCCGCCUCUAUCCUUUCCGGAUGCCUCUGUCUCCUCUCUACAGCGGCCUCCUCAUCUCUUCACGGCUGCUCCAGAGGUCGCCCCCUCGAGCAUCGCGUCCUCUUCUCCACCACCACCUCGCCGCCGCCUCCUCCCUUCGGUUCUCUCCUCGAAGCUCCAUCAAGUGGUCACUGCCGCUUGCUGCCUCUUCUCUCCUGCAGGACGACGCCUCCCCAUCCACCAUCUGCCGCCGCUGAACUGGGUGGCAGUUGCGGCCAUGGGGGAGUAGGGGUGGCAUGGUCUUCAUGGUCGUUAUGUACAAGAAGACGAGGACGGCAGUGGGGGGAACGAGCAGCGAGGCCGGAGCUUCACUAUGGAUUUGAGGAUGCAACUCGCUGGCCACCAUCACCGUCCGCAAUCUGGGCUGCCCAUUUGCGUCUCGCCAUCUUCCUUCCCAAUACUUAACUUAGUUCUUUGACAGUCUAAUUUCAAUUUUGUCAAUUUAUGGCUUUUCUAGGCAAUGAUGUGAGACAGAAAAGAAGAGGAAGACGUUGGUGAAGGAGAGGGCAGCACAAAUGUACACCGCUGUGGCCAGGUUAUUUCAUACGACACAGCCACAGGUGAUGUACAUGAAUGACGGCAGAUGGUUGAGGAUUGAGGGAAUGUAGAUGCGACUAGCGAGCACUUACUCUGAGAUGAUGGUUUAAUAAGACUGUUUGGACAAAAUUCUGAUUUUUCAACACUUGUUCCAUGUGCGAAUAUUCUGGGAGCACCAACUCCAACUGCUGACAAGGUGAAGCUUAUGAUCAGUACAGCUUUGUUUGACAUUUGGCUGGGCUAAAAAAAAUAUCAAUGGGAGCUUUGGACGGCCCGAUUGCAUUAGUGCCUGUGGUUGCGAACGUCCGCCGUCUGCCGCAGCUUCGUCAAUCGUCCUUCUCAAGUGUCAGCGAUCUUAGCCGUGAGGAGCGAGCGACACACCGUUCCCGUCGACGCCGUCGUCCGUCGGCAUCCGGUAUUGCUGUACGCUAUACCUGUACUGAUUGUGAUUGGCGUCCCAUCCGACACCAGAACGAGAACCCCUUCAAUUUAAUGUGUUAGUCAUAGAUAUGGAUAUUGUUGACCAUAAAAAAGAACCUAUCAACAAGAGCCCGAAGGUCAUGUCGUUGGAAGAGACUAAAACCUCAGCAAGUUCUAUACAGCCUACAGAUGCGCAGAUAGAAAUAGCCAAUUUACGUCAUACCAAACCAAGAAGAGCAAAUACAAAUAUUACACCACAAGUAUUAAAUCAACCAUGUCCUUACCUGAAAAAACUAUGUUGGUGCACAUCAAUGAUGCAUUAUUAUCAAAUGCAGAGAUGAGGUGCCUUAGGCAUGAUGAUGUGUUUUUGCAUGAUGAUGUAAUAAAUGCAUAUAUAUACUGUAUAAGUGCCCAGGAGCAUCUGCAAGAUAGAGUGGGUGGAAUGGUACAUAUUGCAAGCACGUUUGUGUCUUCCCUGCUAAAGAACGAUGAGGUAGACCGGGCAACACAUCGCCACAUUGUAAAACGAGUGAAUGCUUUUUUGGAGCAUGACAUGGUAUUCCUUCCAGUUAACAUCAGAAAAUGCCACUGGUAUCUAUCAGUAAUCAAUGCGAAGAAACGAGAGAUACAGGUACUGGACUCGCUUGGAGUUGGAAUGAGCCGAAGUGACCUCACUAAGAUGUUACAAGGACUUGACCAGCAUCUAAAAAUCGCAUGCAAUAUGCCAGAGUUUAAGAGAGGUGAUAGGUGGCAGGACCUCGAUAUUACGAAUUGGAAAGUCGUAGAACAGCUCCAAGAGCCAAUCCAAACAGACGGGAGGACAUGAAAGAAUUUCGACGAAAGAUAAUUUGAUUAAGCGCAACUGGACAUGAUCUACUAGGUGUAGUUUCUGUGAUCGGGAUGAAACUAUCAAGCAUCUUUUCUUUGAUUGCCCGAUGGCGAGGGUGUUGUGGCGCUCGGUGCAAAUUGCCUUUAACAUUACUCCUUCAAAUUUGGUCAGGUCGUUUUUUGGAACGUGGCUGGUUGGUAUAGAGGCCGAAACAGCUAGACAAAUUUGAGUGGGAGCAUGUUUUAUUCCGGGCUACUGCGCUAAUCCGUACGUGGUCAUUACUCACUCCGACGGAGGCCAGGGCGCGUUUGGUUACUGGAUCUGUCCGGUGGGAGAUGGUAGCGCGGGAUAUCUUCAACCGGUUUGGAUGACGGUCAUGUAAUAGGAUAGGCGCUUAGUUUACCUAUCUCUCUUUAUUAUGCCAACCGGUUGUGGCUUUUGAGCCUUGUUUUACUUUGCUAGCUCUUUGUGAGCCAGCAUCCUUUAUUGCAGCACUUUGCAAGACAUUGUUAAACUAUUUUAUUUAUAAAUGUGGCCGUAUGCAUCGUUCUGAUGCAGAGGCAGGGGAAUCCCCCCUUUUCGGAAAAAAAUGAAAGAAUUUCGACGAAAAUUAGCUGUCAUACUAUUGGAAACAGAACUUAAUACGUUAAAAGGAAGUCCAAUAUAUUAUCGUUCUGACAAUGAAGAAAAUGUAUCUAAUUCUGAUGUUGAGUUUCUGGAGGACCGAAAGCGUAAGCAGCAAGAUUCACCCGAUGGAGCCAAAGACAAAAGCCCCCUUCCAAACCCUAUCCGGCGUAACCGCAAGAUUUAGUUGAUGAACUAUGCAACCACAUCAUGUCAAUUAAUGAUGCUAAUUCCCUGGAGGAGUGGGUGUGAAGCUCUAAACCCCAUCCGAUAGGAUUAAGUCUCAGAAGGAUUCAAGGUAUACUCCGCAGGGAUCAGCCGUUGGACAUUGAUUGUUUCAACAUGGCUAUACGUAUACUUGCAUGUGACAAGGCCUUACUCCUCAUGUGCGCUUUAUGGAUCUACAAUUUUUUAUGUCCAUGACCGAG
Triticum aestivum (bread wheat) is the source of this 3179-nucleotide RNA transcript. RefSeq lists it as uncharacterized. The record is from RefSeq and is a predicted model, not a curated record. The transcript has 14 exons. NCBI's taxonomy places the organism in Eukaryota, Viridiplantae, Streptophyta, Magnoliopsida, Poales, Poaceae.